Molecule: ribosomal RNA, 253 nt
Filed under: uncultured bacterium
Lineage: Bacteria
Description: partial 16S ribosomal RNA
Rfam family: Bacterial small subunit ribosomal RNA
Source: RNAcentral
UACGUAGGGGGCAAGCGUUGUCCGGAAUCAUUGGGCGUAAAGAGCGUGUAGGCGGCCCGGUAAGUCCGCUGUGAAAGUCCAGGGCUCAACCCUGGGAUGCCGGUGGAUACUGUCGGGCUCGAGUCCGGAAGAGGAGUGUGGAAUUCCUGGUGUAGCGGUGGAAUGCGCAGAUAUCAGGAGGAACACCGAUGGCGAAGGCAGCUCGCUGGGACGGUACUGACGCUGAGGCGCGAAAGCGUGGGGAGCGAACAGG